AUCCUUUUGUAGUUCAUAAGCACAAUGAUUGAGUUUUCAUGCUCAUGUGUGAGAUAUGCCUCACUCCAAUCUUGUUACACUGUUAGCACCGUUACCUAUCUGACA
Pongo abelii (Sumatran orangutan) is the source of this 105-nucleotide small nucleolar RNA. NCBI's taxonomy places the organism in Eukaryota, Metazoa, Chordata, Mammalia, Primates, Hominidae. The record is from Ensembl.